Molecule: non-coding RNA, 968 nt
Organism: Dermacentor andersoni
Lineage: Eukaryota; Metazoa; Arthropoda; Arachnida; Ixodida; Ixodidae
Source: RefSeq, a predicted model, not a curated record
GGUGCCCUCGGGCGAAAUGAACAAAGCUGUUAAAGAAGCACUUGCUUGGUGUCAUUCCGAUAAGACACAGCGUGAUUUAUACCCUUUACAAACGAGGCAGGGUGAAAACCUCGCAGCUCAAAAGAAUCAAGAGUUAUGCAUGAAGCAACUAGCAACAGUUAAACAUGGGCGAAGCCACGCAUAAAAUAAAUGUAAAAACAUGAAGUGCGCGACAGCUGGUGCGAGGAUUUACCGGGCCACAUAAAACUAACAAUUUCAGUUCUUGCAAACUUCUGUAGCUUUAACAUGCAAAACAAUGCGCUCAUGCAGUCGUGCUGCCUAGCUAGCCCAACGCGGGAAAGAAGCGGAAAACAAUAUAAGCGGCAAACGGCAUUCCGAACUUUAGCGAAAUGCCUUUCAACCGCAUGUUGCACUGCAGACGAACUUCGUCGCUUACCCGUCUAACUACAAUUGAGUAAAAAAAUAAUAAUAAAAAAGAAAAAACACCGAAGCGACAAAGGAAAGGAUGAGAACAAGAAAUUUCGCGCCGAAGCUACGAUCCAUUGCCACCGUUGCUCCUGCUGAUGAGGCUUUGCGGGGAAUAAUUAGAACCGUAUCACCGGCACGUUUUCGCCGGUAUUUGAGCCCGGCCGUGUCUGCUGUGCCCGGGGCACAGCAGACGAAAGGUGCCCGAAAUGUCUACGUUCACCCAUGACGUCACAUCCGCUAUAACCCAUGAUGUCACAUCCGCUCAUUUCCAUGGCGGCCGUCUUACGGAGCCGGCUGCGCUGCGAAACGGUCCGUAUUCCAUGCCCACUUAGAGCACUGAACAUCCCACAUCUUGGUUUGACUUCCUGGUACAGGAUACUUGCACUUAGCAUGGAGUGAUGAAGCAGAGCAGUGUACUUUUAUUAAAUGUGCAGAUUUUAGCAGUAUAACAGCAGUUCAUUAAAAAAACGUGUGCUGAAAAUAAAGUGUUCUUACCCACA